GUCUCGGCUUCCCCUCCCAUCGCCGCACCACUCAUCCGCUAGCUCCCCACGCAGGCGGAUUCGGAUGGAGGCGGCCGUCGCCGGCGGCGGCAGCGGGCUGGGUACCAUGAGCGCUGUGCUCGCCAUCUGACACCAUCCUCCAGUGGUGGGGAUUCAACAUCGCCGUCAUCAACAAGCGGGUAUUCUAGAUCUUGCCACACUGGGCAUCAGGACCGCUGGAUGCUUCUCUCACGGUGGUCAAGCCAAGCUC
This is a long non-coding RNA of Triticum dicoccoides, 250 nucleotides long. RefSeq lists it as uncharacterized. The transcript is spliced from 2 exons. NCBI's taxonomy places the organism in Eukaryota, Viridiplantae, Streptophyta, Magnoliopsida, Poales, Poaceae. The record is from RefSeq and is a predicted model, not a curated record.